This 307-nucleotide unclassified non-coding RNA is filed under the name plant metagenome. RNAcentral's name for it is "partial contains 5.8S ribosomal RNA, internal transcribed spacer 2, and large subunit ribosomal RNA". The stretch from base 1 to 105 matches the Rfam family "5.8S ribosomal RNA", at positions 50 to 154 of the family's 154-position model. The record is from RNAcentral.
GAAAUGCGAUAAGUAAUGUGAAUUGCAGAAUUCAGUGAAUCAUCGAAUCUUUGAACGCACAUUGCGCCCGCCAGCACUCUGGCGGGCAUGCCUGUUCGAGCGUCAUUUCAACCCUCAGAACCCCUUGCGGGAUCUGGCGUUGGGGAUUGGCAUCCAGCCAGCCCCGAAAUCUAGUGGCGGUCCCUCCGCGACCUCCCCUGUGCAGUAGCGAUACCUCGCAGCGGGACAGCGGUCUGACCACGCCGUAAAACCCCCAACUUCCCAAGGUUGACCUCGAAUCAGGUAGUAAUACCCGCUGAACUUAAGC